This 765-nucleotide long non-coding RNA is filed under the name Oryza sativa Indica Group (long-grained rice). RNAcentral's name for it is "lncRNA OsZS97_08G005920". Lineage: Eukaryota; Viridiplantae; Streptophyta; Magnoliopsida; Poales; Poaceae. The record is from RNAcentral. RNAcentral also lists the same sequence under 1 other name.
CGAGAUGGAGAUUUUGGGGAUUUCUUUCUCCGAGGGAGGUCGAGAGAACUCUCAUUCUCUUCGUCUCCUGGUCUGGAGGCGACGCCGACGCGGCAGCGAUUCGACCUCGCCGUCGUCGGUUCGACGUCGAUUUCGAUCUGUGAGUUCGGGCUUGCCAUCGUUGAUUCGCCAGUGAUCUAUUCCUUCCUUUAUCCGUUUGAUGCUGGAACUAUUCAUUCCACAAAUUCCUGAAUUUGAUUAUUUCUGAUGCCUGCUAUCAACAUCUGUAGUUUGAUUAGUUAAUAUGGUCCAGUACUCCUGACUUGUCAACUUCAAUGGCAAUAUACUAAUAUGCACAGAAAAGGUAAGAUUUUAAAUAAGUAUUAAAAUUAAAAUUUACAUGUUGUAUGUAUUACAAUUAAAUUUUCUUAUUAUGUAAAUUUAUCACAAUUGUACUGUAAUUUUUGUUUUCAAAAGAAUAAACCUGAAUGAACAUUGUAGGCUUUUUGACAUGCUUUUUGUACCUCAACAUUUAUACUUUAAGAUUGUCUUCUAGUUCUGUAUGUAAGUAAUUUAGUUAUAGAUUUCAUCAGGUUUAAAGUGCAUGCGCAGUUGAACAUUGUGUAGUGCUGCUGUAUGGACCUAUUUAAUCAGUUUAAAGUGCAUGUGAAAUUAAGGUUUAAUCUAGUUGAACAUUGUACAAAUUUGAUUGCUACAUGAUCGAGUACAAAUAUGUUUUAGUCUAAUUGAAUUGAUUGAGUAAUAGCAUGUAUUUGAUUCAGUAUA